GACAUCGGUUUGUUUAUGAUUCUCAAUUUACGCCUAUUUGCAUGGGAAUGCCACGUGGCACAUGAAGACGUUGCCAGUGAACGAGUUCUUUUUUUUUUUUUUCUAUCAAUGUUAUGUCACCAAAACCGAAUGCGGAAAGAAAAACAAAUUCACUAGAGGAAGAAAGACGAUGAGGAAGAUGAAGCACUUAUCCUCCAUUGCUAACGACGUCGUUCUUAGAUGCUCACGGGAGCUAGGGUUAACCAUUGAUGAAAUGGUGGAAGAGUUUGAAUGUCAAUGGAAGCCUGGAAACGAAGGUACUUCUUACUCCAAGAAGUUUGUAGAAUUUUGCAACUCAAAGGUGGCUACUCGGGUUUGUGAUCAAAACAUACCUGAGAGAAUCAAAGAUGGUUCUUUUACACGUCUCACGUUCGAUAUGAUGCUGGCCUGGCAACAACCUGAUGCUGAUGACAACGAGUCUCAUCAGGAAGCAGUAGGUAAGGAGAGUGAAGACAAGAGGAUUCAAGCAACCUUAUCACCGGAGCAAGACGACAUUUCUCUUUUUUAUUCAGACAUCAUGCCGCUUCUUGCUGAUCAUGAACCAAGUGUGGGUGAAGAUGCAUUUGUGUAUUUGGCCUCAAUCAUUCCUCUCCAUGUGGAUGUCAUCAAUGGAAGAUACACGUUUGAGACUCUAACCGCUCCAACUGGCCACCAACUUCACUUCCCAGCUUACGAUAUGUUUGUCAAGGAAAUACUUAAGUGUAUGAAACAUUUGCAAAAGCAAGCAAAGCCUAAAGGGGUCGAAUUGGCGGAUGAUGAGAUUAUAUUGCAUGUUGAAGGAACAAUGGCUUCACAAAGAGUGGUUCGCCACAUUAAAGAAACAAGCUGGCCUGGUAGGCUUACUUUGACUAACUAUGGACUAUACUUCGAAGCCGCGGGAAUUAUAAACUAUGAAGAUGCUCUUAAGAUAGAUCUUACCAAAGACGGUGCCAGUUCUGCAAAGCCUAUUUCUACUGGUCCAUGGGGUGCCCCUCUUUUUGACAAGGCCAUUGUCUACGAGUCUCCCGACUUUGAGGAUGGAAUUGUCUUGGAGUUUCCCGAGAUGACAAGCUCAACAAGACGAGAUCAUUGGCUUAUGCUUGUAAAGGAGAUAACAUUAAUGCACCAGUUCUUGAAGAAAAACAAUGUUCAAGCUCCUUCACAAGUAUGGGAAGUCCAUUCCAGAACAAUAUUGGGAAUCAUACGGUUGCAUGCAGCCCGUGAAAUGCUGAGAAUUUCUCCCCCGGAUCCAAAAAAGUUUUUAAUAUUCAGUUUGUUUGAGGAAGUUCCCAAGGGAGACUUUGUACUAGAAGAGCUCGCAGAGAUUAGUAUAAAGGUGGGUGCUACCAAAAACCCGUGUAGUGCUAGCUCCAUAUUGAGGAGUAUGAACAUGGAUCAGCUUGGUAACAUAUUAAAAGAAGAAGGAGAAGCUCAGUGCAAGGAGACAGUUAAAGAGACUGAUCAUAAAGAAGAAAUGCUUACUUCUCUUGAAAGUGCAGUAAAUCAAACGAGAGAAGAGGAAAGGGAGAUUGAAAAAGCUAAAGCUACAACAACUGAACUCGAAGAAGAAGGGAUUACUGAAAGUGUGGCAGUUCUUAUGGAGUUGAUGAGGCCAUUGCAAGACGCAGUGCCAUGGUUCCAGGAAGUGCUUUAUUGGGAAAGGCCUUCUCGUACGCUUUUUGUUCUAGCCAUAACUAUUUUGAUCGUCUACAAGGAGUGGGUUGGCAAGGGUAUAGCUGCUUGCUUAAUAUGGUUGGUGGUUAAAAUGGCUCAGAAUAGACAAAAGAGGGUACAUACAAAAAAGGAGGAUGAGGUAAGAGUGAGCACCGAAUCUGACCAAACAGUGACCGAGAGCAUUGUGUCGGCUCAAUAUGGCUUGAUAAGACUUCACCAGUUGAUGCAACAUGUCAACAUCACAAUCAUGAAGUUGCGAUCCAUAUAUACAUCCAAGGCUACCAAGCAUGCAAACAUGGUGAUGGCGUCGAUGUUAGCUUUGGCAAGCUUCUUUGCGGUGGUACCGUUCAAGCUGGUCAUCAUAUUUGGUACAAUAUACUGCUUUGUAAUGACAUCAAGUAUCGGGAAACGCAUGAGCAACGAUCAGAGUAACCGGAGAAUGAAAGAGUGGUGGGAUUCCAUACCCAUUGUUCCCGUUCGCGUACUGGACUCUUCUUCCAAGUAAUCCACAUAAUGUGAGUUUACUAAGGCGACUGUUUUUCGUUCUUUCCUAUAAUAAACUAAAUAGAGAAAUAAUGUUCAGAAAAAAGUUAUGUUUUGUAAAAUAUUACAACCAUAUGUCACCAUAGGUCCAUAACUAUUAUAAUAAAUAAAUUACAGAGUGUAUUUGUUUUCAUUUUCAUGGAUACUUUUGAUUAACUAUUAAACUAAGAAAACUUUCAUAUUUUAUU
Brassica napus (rape) is the source of this 2423-nucleotide RNA transcript. RefSeq lists it as uncharacterized. The record is from RefSeq and is a predicted model, not a curated record. The transcript is spliced from 10 exons. NCBI's taxonomy places the organism in Eukaryota, Viridiplantae, Streptophyta, Magnoliopsida, Brassicales, Brassicaceae.